Molecule: RNA transcript, 3093 nt
Organism: Dioscorea cayenensis subsp. rotundata (Guinea yam)
Lineage: Eukaryota; Viridiplantae; Streptophyta; Magnoliopsida; Dioscoreales; Dioscoreaceae
Gene name: KH domain-containing protein At4g18375-like
Exons: 10
Source: RefSeq, a predicted model, not a curated record
UUGUUCGAUCCCCUCAAAAUGAGCCCCUGUUGUCUCUUCCUUGCUGGAUCGCUCUUCUGUUCUCCGACACCACAAAGCAUCAAGAAUUCGAUCCCUUUUCCAAACGAACUGAUUAUUUGGUGAUUGUUAGUUAUUUAGUUCUGAUAGAUUUAUAUGGAUGAUGAGAGGUCAUAUGCUUAUGGCCAUGGGAAAUCUGUUGGUCAUAAGAGAAGAUCUUCCUUCCAGUUUGAUAAUGGAAAACACAAGCGUCAGAACUUCAGCCAUGAUUCAGUGACUUCUAAACCUAUUGAUACCAUAUAUCGCAUUCUCUGCCCUGCAAAGAGGAUUGGUAGUGUUCUUGGGAAAGGGGGAGACAUCAUCAAUGCUCUUAGAGAGGAGACCCAUGCAAAGAUUAGGGUUGCUGAUGCCAUUCCUGGUUUUGAGGAGAGAGUAAUUAUUAUCUUUAGCUACCUGUCAAAGGAAUCUGAAUAUAAUGACUCUGAUCCGGAGCCUGACAAUGGUUAUCCAGCUGAGGAGGAACGUGAGGAAAUGCGGCCAGAUUGUCCAGCCCAGGAUGCUCUUUUGAAAGUCCAUGAUAGAAUCACUGCUGAUGAUUACAUCCGUGGUGGAGUGUUGCAUGAGAAAGCUGAACGUGAUCAUGAGGAUGUCAUUGCACGCAUUCUAGUUCCUAAUAAUCAAGUUGGGUGCCUUCUUGGUAAGGGCGGAACUGUGAUUCAGAAACUGCGAAGUGAAACGAGAGCUAGCAUUCGCAUUUUGCCUGCGGAACACCUCCCACCAUGUGCUAUGCGCACUGAUGAACUUGUGCAGAUUUCUGGAAUUCCACAUGUUGUGAAGAGGGCUUUGUAUGAAAUAUCUUCUCUUUUGCAUAGGCAUCCUCGCAAGGAGAACCCUUCUCUAGAAGAUCUUAUAUUCGCCAGUACCAAUGGGUUGUAUACACCUGGUCCCUCGUUGCCGCCUUCAAUGUCUCAGGGAAAUCAAGGAUGGUCUCACAAACAUCCUGGUCUGCAUGAGAUGCCAAUGCCUCGGUUUGGUGGAUUUAUGAAUAAAUCACCAGGAUAUGCUCCAGGUGGUUAUGAUAACGGUCACGCUAGAGAUAGUCAUGAUUUAUCAGAUGAAUUCUCCAUGAGGAUUUUGUGUGCCACUGAGAAGAUUGGUGGGCUAAUUGGUAAGGGUGGUGUGAAUGUCAGGCAAUUAGAGCAACAUACAGGAGCUCACAUUCAAGUUGAAGAUACUGGUCCAGAGGCAGAUGAGCGUGUGGUUCUUAUUUCUUCAAAAGAGGCUUCUUGGGAUAGAAAUUCCCCGACAAUCGUUGCUAUUCUUCAACUUCAGGAUAAGAUAGGUGCAACAUCUGAAAAGGGCACCAUCACAACAAGGCUUUUGGUUCCCUCAAGCAAAGUUGGUUGCCUUCUUGGACAAGGUGGCAACAUCAUUACUGAGAUGAGAAUGAGGACCCAUGCAGAUAUUCGAGUUUACUCCAAGAAUGAUAAACCAAAGUAUAUACCUUCAAAUGAAGAGCUUGUGCAGAUAUCUGGAACAAAUAGUGUAGCAAAGGAGGCCCUAAUAGAGAUAGCGUCCAGGCUUAGAGAGAGAACCCUGAGGAGUUCCACAAAUCCUGUACCUCAUGGCUCUUUUCAUAGAGGUGCUGAUUUUGAUGAUUUUGAUUCCAGAGUAAUUCCAUCAUCCACUAUGGUUAGGCCAAGGAACACUUCCAGCUAUCGACUUCCCAAGAGGGAUUCUGGGCUGCCAUAUGAAUUUCAUGAGCGUCCUGGUUCGCUGACACGUGCUGGGUAUCCUGGACCUAUGGGCGUGGCUGGGUAUCAGAGUUCUGUGAGUGCUGAUGGGUAUAGAAGUCCUGCCAGUGUAUCCAGGUAUGCUGGUCCAGCGAGUUCGGUGGGGUAUGGUCCUUCAGGUGCUGCUGGUUACCUGAGUUCUGUGAGUGCUGAUGAGCGUCCAGGCCCUGCUAAUGUAUCUGCAUACCCUGGGCCUGCAAAUGCCACCAGGUACUCUGAUCCUGCAAGUGCCACCUGGUACCCUGAUCCUGUAAGUGGUGCCAAGUACCCUGAUCCUGCAAGUGCCACCUGGUACCCUGAUCCUGUAAGUGGUGCCAAGUACCCUGAUCCUGCAAAUGCGGCUCGGUACCCUGGUCUGCCAAGUGGAGCUGGAUAUCAUAAUGCACCAAUUCCUACUGCAUAUGAUGGACCUUUGAGGAGCACCACCAGGUACUCUACUAUGAACAAUUCUGUGGAGAUUAAAAUUCCUAUGGGUGUUGCACCUACGGUUCUUGGAGUGGGUGGGAGCAAUAUUUCAGAAAUCUCUCAGAUAUCUGGAGCGAGAGUGCAAUUACGGGAACCACUUUCUGGUGCAUCUGAGUGUGUUAUUGAGAUAUGUGGUUCCUCUGAUCAAAUAAAGGCAGCACAAAGUCUCCUUCAGGCCUUCAUAGCAUCUGGUGGGCGUGAUGUGCCUCCACCAACAUAUGUGCCUCGUUCGUUCUGAUAUUUUUUUGGGAACUAUGUCUCUCGCGCAACUCAGUUUAUGGUGGUUUGGCCAUUUGUUCCUAUGGCAUAUUCAGCAUUUGAUGUCAGCCAACAUGUUUAAUUACCCACAAUUGUGUUAUUAUCUGAUCUGCAUUGUUUAAUGUAGGAAAUAACAAUCUUUUAGGAAUUAAAGUCUGAGUUAAGUUGUGAUCACUGUAUUUUUUUUUAUUUUAUUUGAAAUGAAUAUUGUAACUCUGAAGCAAACUGAAAAUUCAAGGAUUUGUUGGCAACAUUGUAGAUGGAUGAUGUUCUGCUAUUCUUCUGUAGACUGCAUCAAAAUAUUAGCAGUGCCACUAAUUGUAGGGUGCUUAUUUCAUUGUCAACGAUGCUAAUCAUUAUUGAUGGUGCAGUUGGCAUUACUAUGAUCCUUAGCUGCCCUGAGAUAUGUGACACUAGCGUGUGGUUGCUUCAGAAGAAUUCGAUGGGCAACUUCUCAUGAACAUGGAGCGCAAUCUGAUGCUUUGGAGGAAGUUGCAUGAUCCUGUGCCAUGAAAGAGCUCAAGGUUGCAAUGCUAGGCCAUGGCUUCAUGACCGUCGGGCUCGAUGAAAAGUUCGACCC